GGAGCCCGGGUGGCUCACCCAGCUGCUGCAGCCUGCGGAGGGGAUGCGCGGAGCCGGGGGUGCCCGCACCAUGAAGUGGCUCGUCCUGGCCGUGCUGUGCCUCCAGCUCUCGGAGGGGGUGGUGAGGAUCCAGCUGAGGAAAUACAAGUCCGCACGGGAGUUGAUGAGGGAGGCGGGCGUGCUGAAGGACUACCUGAAGAAAAUGAAGCACUGACCCAGCCAGGAGAUACCACUUCGGUCGGAGCUACAUCGUGCACGAGCCCAUGGCCAGCCAUCUGGAUUCCUCCUUCUUCGGGGAGAUCAGCCUCGGGACCCCCCCGCAGAGCUUCCUGGUGCUCUUCGACACCGGCUCCUCCAACCUCUGGGUGCCCUCCACCCUGUGCCAGACGGCAGGCUUGCAAAAAUCACGCCACGUUCGACCCCAGCGCCUCCUCCACCUUCGUCAACAACGGCCGGACCUACACCCUGAGCUACGGCAGCGGCUCGCUGACGGUGCAGCUGGGCUACGACACGCUGAAGAUCCAGAACAUCAAGGUCAAACACCAGGAGUUUCGGGCUGAGCAAGAACGA
Molecule: long non-coding RNA, 570 nt
Filed under: Anas platyrhynchos (mallard)
Lineage: Eukaryota; Metazoa; Chordata; Aves; Anseriformes; Anatidae
Description: lncRNA (ENSAPLG00020015682.1)
Source: RNAcentral